GGGGAUGGAAGGAUUUGAUUGAUAGUACUUUUAAAAUAUGGGCGCAAGCCAAGUUGCUGAUACUUGUAAAUCGCAGCAAAACCAUAUUUGCCGAUGAUGAAAUGGCAUACGCACCUGUUGAUGCUUACGCAUACGCAGGAGCAAUGGCCUAAACUUAGUUUAAGGUCAGGUUCUAAAGUCUCUGUCCGAAGGGGUUUAUAGAAUCUAAUAAAAUCGGAAUGAGGGGUGCAAAAAAUGGUAAAAAUGCAACCCGAGAGCAAAAGCUCAAAGAAAAUACCUAAAAAGGGAUAACAGGGUAUGUUAAAGACCUUGCCUUUUGAGAUAAACUUUUAACUAAGCUUGUAGAUGUUCAUAUUUGGUCUUUCAAGACAGGGGUUCAAUUCCCCUCAUCUCCACCA
Molecule: transfer-messenger RNA, 398 nt
Filed under: Patescibacteria group
Lineage: Bacteria
Also listed under: 2 other names
Description: JAGPFW01 sp018056275 Standard tmRNA
Rfam family: transfer-messenger RNA
About the family: Bacterial tmRNA, also known as 10Sa RNA or SsrA, is named for its dual tRNA and mRNA-like properties. Its role is to liberate the mRNA from a stalled ribosome.
Source: RNAcentral